ACGGAGGAACGCGGGGGGCGCAGAGGAGACGGGCGAGGAGGAGGGGCACGGCCGGCGGCCCGGGCCGCGCGAAGGCGAGCACUCCGGAAGAGGCCGCGGGAGUGGCCCCCGCUCACGUCCCGACCGCUCGAGAGGCGCGUUGGCCUUGGCUCGCGGCAGGAGGAGGACGGUGCAGGAACGUGGGUGGCUGUGAUGGCAAGAGUCCGUUCGGGAGGUCCCAUCCAGGACAACCGCAAAUGCGCAGGUUUCUAGGUAGACUUGGGUUCGUUAGGUUCUCUAAGACUGUUGAGUCCAACCAAUGACUGAGCACCAACCUUGUCAACUAGACCAAAGCACUGGGUGCGACAUCCAAACACUUGCAGGGAUGAUGUCUCCACCACGCUCCUGGGCAACCCAUUCCAAUAUCUAAUCAGUCCUCCUGUGAAGAAAUUCUUCCUAAUGUCCAACCUAUACCUGUCCUGGCACAGCUUAAGACUGUGUCUUCUUGUCCUAGUGCAUGUUGCAAAUAAACAUACUUUCUGAUGGGCUUCAAAUUCA
Non-coding RNA from Cyanistes caeruleus (blue tit), 537 nucleotides. NCBI's taxonomy places the organism in Eukaryota, Metazoa, Chordata, Aves, Passeriformes, Paridae. The record is from RefSeq and is a predicted model, not a curated record.